GUACGCAAAUAAGGGCGUAUGGUGGAUGCCUUGACACUAAGAGACGAUGAAGGACGUUGCAGGGUGCGAUAAGCCUCGGUUAGGUCCCAAGCAACCUUUGACCCGGGGAUGUCCGAAUGGGGGAACCCCGCCGACUUUACGUCGGUGAUUACGCGCUGAAUUCAUAGGCGCGUAAAGAAGACCUGGUGAAGUGAAACAUCUCAGUAACCAGAGGAAAAGAAAACGAAAAAUAUUAGCCUUCAGCUUUCAGUCUUCAGCUUUCGGUAUUGCCGAUCGCGGAAGUCUGAUAGCUGAUAGCUAUUGUGAUUCCCUAAGUAGUGGCGAGCGAAAGGGGAACAGCCCAAACCUACACUGUGUUGGAUUGCGGAAGAAUCUGUCUUCGGACUUAUUUAGACGCAAUCUUUAAAGGACAGGCCGUUGCGGUGUAGGGGUUAUAGGACAGAAUGUUUGAUUACCUGUUUUAAUCAGGCAUGCCGCGGUUUUUAUAGUCGAAGACCCCUGGAAAGGGGCACCAUAGCAGGUGAUAGUCCUGUAGACGAAAUAUUAAUUGCGCGUGUAUUUUUGUUCCUGAGUACGGCGGAACACGAGAAACUCCGUCGGAAUUUCGGCCGACUAUGGCCUAAGGCUAAAUACUCUUAGUGAUCGAUAGUGAACAAGUACCAUGAGGGAAAGGUGAAAAGCAGCCCGGUGAGGGCGAUGAAAUAGUAUCUGAAACCAUAUGCCUACAAUGAGCUAGAGUCCCGAUAUCGCAAGAUAUCGCGGAUGAUAGUAUUCCUAUUGAAGAAUGAGCCUGCGAGUGUGCUGUCGGUUGCAAGGUUAAUCCCGAUUAAAACGGGAGGAGCCGUAGGGAAACCGAGUCUUAACUGGCGAUUUAGUAGCCGGCACAUAACCCGAAACCGGGUGGUCAAUCCAUGGCCAGGAUGAAGGUUGAUGAAAAUCAGCUGGAGGUCCGAACCCACGCGCUGUGCAAAACGCGGGGAGGAGCUGUGGAUAGGAGAGAAAUUCUAAUCGAACUCGGUAAUAGCUGGUUCUCCUCGAAAUAUAUUUAGGUAUAGCUGCAUGUGUUCCCUCUGGGGGUAGAGCACUGGAUGAGAUUGGGGUCCGCAAGGAUACUCAUCUUAAUCAAACUCCGAAUACCAGAGGUCAAAAAUAUGCAAGUCAGACAGUGGGGGCUAAGCUUCAUUGUCAAAAGGGAAACAGCCCAGAUCACCAACUAAGGUCCCUAAGUUACUACUAAGUGUAAAAGGUGGUGUUGAUUCACAUACAACCAGGAGGUUGGCUUAGAAGCAGCCAUCCUUUAAAGAAAGCGUAAUAGCUCACUGGUCAAGAGUCUUCGCGCCGAAAAUGUACCGGGGCUAAGUAGUACACCGAAGUUGUGAGCUUGUGCGUGGCACAAGCAAGUUAUAAAGUCCAUAAAGUCCAUAAAGUCCAUAAAGUUGUUUGAUACGACUUUAUAGACUUUUGACUUUUGACUUUUGACUUGCUCGUGUCGCGCACGAGCGGUAGAGGAGCAUUUAGAGCAGCUGUGAAGUCUAACCUGUGAGGGAAGAUGGAGCGCUCUGAAGAGAGAAUGCAGGCACAAGUAGCAAAAAUGCCGGUGAAAGUCCGGCACGCCGAAAAACCAAGGUUUCCAGGGCAACGAGAAUCGUCCCUGGGUUAGUCGGUCCUAAGGCCAGCCCCGAUGUAAAUCGGGGGUAACCGAUGGAUGAGCAGGUUAAUAUUCCUGCACUUGAUAUAGUUUGUCCUGUGUGCGUGCUUUGCCGGUGAAAGCGUUGUAUGGCUACACGUCCCGCAAGGGGUAGGCUGAAUCUUCGGAAGAGGCCAACUUUCAUUUAAUAAGCACCGAGAAAAGCACAGUGACGUUAGGUUAUGUCAAUCCGUACCUCAAACCGACUCAGGUGGUUAAGUCGAGAAGACUAAGGCGAACGAGAGAAAUAUAGUUAAGGAACUCUGCAAUUUAGCGGCCGUAACUUCGGGAUAAGGCCUGCCCUUCGCAAGAAGGGCCGCAGCUAAAGACCUCAUGCGACUGUUUACCAAAAACACAGCUCCCUGCAAAAGCGUAAGCUGAAGUAUAGGGAGUGAUGCCUGGCCAGUGUCAGAACGUUAAGGGGAGAGGUGAUCUCCGACGCAAGUCGGAGCGCAGCCUUGAGCCGAAGCGCUGAUGAAC
RNAcentral lists this ribosomal RNA (2167 nucleotides) under Candidatus Magasanikbacteria bacterium RIFCSPLOWO2_01_FULL_43_20b. RNAcentral's name for it is "bacterial LSU rRNA". It matches the Rfam family "Bacterial large subunit ribosomal RNA", at positions 1 to 1928 of the family's 2925-position model. Lineage: Bacteria; Candidatus Magasanikiibacteriota. The record is from RNAcentral.